This 254-nucleotide ribosomal RNA is filed under the name uncultured bacterium. RNAcentral describes it as "partial 16S ribosomal RNA". It matches the Rfam family "Bacterial small subunit ribosomal RNA", at positions 524 to 776 of the family's 1533-position model. The record is from RNAcentral.
UACGGAGGGGGCGAGCGUUGUCCGAAUUUAUUGGGCGUAAAGCGCGUGUAGGCGGAUGGACAAGCCUGAAGUGAAAGGUUGGGGCUCAACCCCAUACAGUGCCUUGGGGACUGUUCGUCUGGAGGCCGGCAGAGGAGAGUGGAAUUCCUGGUGUAGCGGUGGAAUGCGUAGAGAUCAGGAAGAACACCCAUGGCGAAGGCAGCUCUCUGGGCCGGUACUGACGCUGAGACGCGAAAGCGCGGGGAGCGAACGGG